This 1959-nucleotide ribosomal RNA is filed under the name Escherichia coli DEC11A. RNAcentral's name for it is "bacterial LSU rRNA". It matches the Rfam family "Bacterial large subunit ribosomal RNA", at positions 984 to 2925 of the family's 2925-position model. Lineage: Bacteria; Pseudomonadati; Pseudomonadota; Gammaproteobacteria; Enterobacterales; Enterobacteriaceae. The record is from RNAcentral.
CACACGGCGGGUGCUAACGUCCGUCGUGAAGAGGGAAACAACCCAGACCGCCAGCUAAGGUCCCAAAGUCAUGGUUAAGUGGGAAACGAUGUGGGAAGGCCCAGACAGCCAGGAUGUUGGCUUAGAAGCAGCCAUCAUUUAAAGAAAGCGUAAUAGCUCACUGGUCGAGUCGGCCUGCGCGGAAGAUGUAACGGGGCUAAACCAUGCACCGAAGCUGCGGCAGCGACACUGUGUGUUGUUGGGUAGGGGAGCGUUCUGUAAGCCUGCGAAGGUGUGCUGUGAGGCAUGCUGGAGGUAUCAGAAGUGCGAAUGCUGACAUAAGUAACGAUAAAGCGGGUGAAAAGCCCGCUCGCCGGAAGACCAAGGGUUCCUGUCCAACGUUAAUCGGGGCAGGGUGAGUCGACCCCUAAGGCGAGGCCGAAAGGCGUAGUCGAUGGGAAACAGGUUAAUAUUCCUGUACUUGGUGUUACUGCGAAGGGGGGACGGAGAAGGCUAUGUUGGCCGGGCGACGGUUGUCCCGGUUUAAGCGUGUAGGCUGGUUUUCCAGGCAAAUCCGGAAAAUCAAGGCUGAGGCGUGAUGACGAGGCACUACGGUGCUGAAGCAACAAAUGCCCUGCUUCCAGGAAAAGCCUCUAAGCAUCAGGUAACAUCAAAUCGUACCCCAAACCGACACAGGUGGUCAGGUAGAGAAUACCAAGGCGCUUGAGAGAACUCGGGUGAAGGAACUAGGCAAAAUGGUGCCGUAACUUCGGGAGAAGGCACGCUGAUAUGUAGGUGAAGUCCCUCGCGGAUGGAGCUGAAAUCAGUCGAAGAUACCAGCUGGCUGCAACUGUUUAUUAAAAACACAGCACUGUGCAAACACGAAAGUGGACGUAUACGGUGUGACGCCUGCCCGGUGCCGGAAGGUUAAUUGAUGGGGUCAGCGCAAGCGAAGCUCUUGAUCGAAGCCCCGGUAAACGGCGGCCGUAACUAUAACGGUCCUAAGGUAGCGAAAUUCCUUGUCGGGUAAGUUCCGACCUGCACGAAUGGCGUAAUGAUGGCCAGGCUGUCUCCACCCGAGACUCAGUGAAAUUGAACUCGCUGUGAAGAUGCAGUGUACCCGCGGCAAGACGGAAAGACCCCGUGAACCUUUACUAUAGCUUGACACUGAACAUUGAGCCUUGAUGUGUAGGAUAGGUGGGAGGCUUUGAAGUGUGGACGCCAGUCUGCAUGGAGCCGGCCUUGAAAUACCACCCUUUAAUGUUUGAUGUUCUAACGUUGACCCGUGAUCCGGGUUGCGGACAGUGUCUGGUGGGUAGUUUGACUGGGGCGGUCUCCUCCUAAAGAGUAACGGAGGAGCACGAAGGUUGGCUAAUCCUGGUCGGACAUCAGGAGGUUAGUGCAAUGGCAUAAGCCAGCUUGACUGCGAGCGUGACGGCGCGAGCAGGUGCGAAAGCAGGUCAUAGUGAUCCGGUGGUUCUGAAUGGAAGGGCCAUCGCUCAACGGAUAAAAGGUACUCCGGGGAUAACAGGCUGAUACCGCCCAAGAGUUCAUAUCGACGGCGGUGUUUGGCACCUCGAUGUCGGCUCAUCACAUCCUGGGGCUGAAGUAGGUCCCAAGGGUAUGGCUGUUCGCCAUUUAAAGUGGUACGCGAGCUGGGUUUAGAACGUCGUGAGACAGUUCGGUCCCUAUCUGCCGUGGGCGCUGGAGAACUGAGGGGGGCUGCUCCUAGUACGAGAGGACCGGAGUGGACGCAUCACUGGUGUUCGGGUUGUCAUGCCAAUGGCACUGCCCGGUAGCUAAAUGCGGAAGAGAUAAGUGCUGAAAGCAUCUAAGCACGAAACUUGCCCCGAGAUGAGUUCUCCCUGACUCCUUGAGAGUCCUGAAGGAACGUUGAAGACGACGACGUUGAUAGGCCGGGUGUGUAAGCGCAGCGAUGCGUUGAGCUAACCGGUACUAAUGAACCGUGAGGCUUAACCU